RNAcentral lists this transfer RNA (75 nucleotides) under Helicobacter pylori. RNAcentral's name for it is "tRNA-Glu". It matches the Rfam family "tRNA". From Rfam's summary of the family: Transfer RNA (tRNA) molecules are approximately 80 nucleotides in length. The record is from RNAcentral. RNAcentral also lists the same sequence under 52 other names. Lineage: Bacteria; Pseudomonadati; Campylobacterota; Epsilonproteobacteria; Campylobacterales; Helicobacteraceae.
GCGCCCAUCGUCUAGCGGUUAGGACAUCGCCCUUUCACGGCGGAAACAGGGGUUCGAUUCCCCUUGGGCGUACCA